GCCCCUGUAGUUUAAUUAAAAUUUUAAUUUUGUAAAUUAAAGAUGUCAGCCAGGGGUA
Molecule: transfer RNA, 58 nt
Filed under: Proasellus spelaeus
Lineage: Eukaryota; Metazoa; Arthropoda; Malacostraca; Isopoda; Asellidae
Description: transfert RNA-T(ACA)
Source: RNAcentral